RNAcentral lists this long non-coding RNA (548 nucleotides) under Parus major (Great Tit). Its description in RNAcentral is "lncRNA (ENSPMJG00000013334.1)". Lineage: Eukaryota; Metazoa; Chordata; Aves; Passeriformes; Paridae. The record is from RNAcentral.
AUUUUAAUGGGGUUUCUGUGUAUAUUUCAGUAAUGUGGUUACUUCUGAUCCAGCAGGGUAGUGGAUUUAUGUGGUGACACCUGGAAUAUGAUGGGACUCCAAGUUAUCAUUUAAUUGUGCUAAGGAUGGGAAGAAAAGGAGAUUUUGUGCAUUUCUCAGGGUUAAUCCCUAACCCCCAGCAAUACCACUGGGAGAGCUGUAUGGCAGGCUUGAAAUAGUUACUACUUGGAGCAAGCAGCCUUUUCAAGUCUUUACUUAUAAUUCACGGAUUGGAGAAGCUGGAGCACCAAUUUUCAGCUGAGGGCUCCCAAUCUGAGGAGCUGUUUGAGCCAGGCCCUGGAAGAGCAGAGGUAGAAGAGUGCGUGUCUGUGUGUCCAUCCCUCUGUACGUGUGACCUCAGCCACAGCAUCCUUGCCAUGGGAAAGCCACGGGAAUAUGGGAACCAGGACAAAAUUCAAAUCAAUAAAUGGGAGAAGGAGAGAAACCACAAGCUGUGCAUUUUCAGGGAGGUUCUGUGGGAUGGAUGGAGGCUGCUGAGCAUGACCUAA